AGCAGCCGCGGUAAUUCCAGCUCCAAUAGCGUAUAUUAAAGUUGUUGCAGUUAAAAGCUGUAGUUGAAUUUCGGGAUUCUUCCGUUGGUCAGGCUAACAAGUCUGUACUAGCGUGUAGAUCUCUACCUUCUGGGGAACCAUCAUGUUAUUAAUUUAGCGUGGUGGGAAACCAGGACCUUACCUUGAAAAAAUUAGAGUGUUCAAAGCAGGCUUACGUCUGAAU
RNAcentral lists this ribosomal RNA (223 nucleotides) under uncultured Glomeromycotina. Its description in RNAcentral is "partial small subunit ribosomal RNA". It matches the Rfam family "Eukaryotic small subunit ribosomal RNA", at positions 569 to 800 of the family's 1831-position model. Lineage: Eukaryota; Fungi; Glomeromycota. The record is from RNAcentral.